GAUGAACGCUAGCGAUAGGCCUAACACAUGCAAGUCGAGGGGCAUCACAUGAAGUAGCAAUACGGAUGGUGGCGACCGGCGCACGGGUGAGUAACACGUAUGCAACCUGCCUUCAACAAGGGGAUAACCCGUUGAAAGACGGACUAAUACCCUAUAACACAGGGGUCCCGCAUGGGAAUAUUUGUUAAAGGACAACCGGUUGAAGAUGGGCAUGCGUUCCAUUAGCUAGUUGGCGGGGUAACGGCCCACCAAGGCAACGAUGGAUAGGGGAACUGAGAGGUUUAUCCCCCACACUGGUACUGAGACACGGACCAGACUCCUACGGGAGGGCAGCAGUGAGGAAUAUUGGUCAAUGGACGCAAGUCUGAACCAGCCACGUCGCGUGAAGGAAGACGGCCCUACGGGUUGUAAACUUCUUUUAUACGGGAAUAAAGUGCCCCACGCGUGGGGUUUUGCAUGUACCGUAUGAAUAAGGAUCGGCUAACUCCGUG
This 491-nucleotide ribosomal RNA is filed under the name uncultured bacterium. Its description in RNAcentral is "bacterial SSU rRNA". It matches the Rfam family "Bacterial small subunit ribosomal RNA", at positions 28 to 507 of the family's 1533-position model. The record is from RNAcentral.